Molecule: ribosomal RNA, 254 nt
Filed under: uncultured bacterium
Lineage: Bacteria
Description: partial 16S ribosomal RNA
Rfam family: Bacterial small subunit ribosomal RNA
Source: RNAcentral
CACGUAGGGGGCGAGCGUUGUCCGGAAUCAUUGGGCGUAAAGAGCUCGUAGGCGGCUCGGUAAGUCGGGUGUGAAACCCCCAGGCUCAACCUGGGGACGCCACCCGAUACUGCUGUGGCUAGAGUCCAGUAGGGGAGUGUGGAAUUCCCGGUGUAGCGGUGAAAUGCGCAGAUAUCGGGAGGAACACCGGUGGCGAAGGCGGCAUCCUGGACCAACACUGACACUGAGGAGCGAAAGCCAGGGGAGCAAACGGG